CUACGGGGCGCACCAGUGGGGAAUCUUGCGCAAUGGGCGAAAGCCUGACGCAGCAACGCCGCGUGCGGGAAGAAUGCCCUUUGGGCUGUAAACCGCUUUCAGCAGGAACGAAAAUGACGGUACCUGCAGAAGAAGAAGCGGCCAACUAUGUGCCAGCAGCCGCGGUGAUACAUAGGCUUCGAGCGUUGUCCGGAUUUAUUGGGCGUAAGGAGUUCGUAGGCGGUUAAGUAAGUCGGGUGUGAAAAUUCUGGGCUCAACCCAGAAACGCCACCCGAUACUGCUUGACUUGAGUUCGACAGGGGAGUGGGGAAUUCCUAGUGUAGCGGUGAAAUGCGCAGAUAUUAGGAGGAACACCGGUGGCGAAGGCGCCACUCUGGGUCGACACUGACGCUGAGGAACGAAAGCAUGGGUAGCAAACAGGAUUAGAUACCCCCGUAGUC
Molecule: ribosomal RNA, 440 nt
Filed under: uncultured bacterium
Lineage: Bacteria
Description: partial 16S ribosomal RNA
Rfam family: Bacterial small subunit ribosomal RNA
Source: RNAcentral